CUUAAUUUGACUCAACACGGGAAAACUCACCCGGUCCGGACACUAUUAGGACUGACAGAUUGAAAGCUCUUUCUCGAUUUGGUGGUUGGUGGUGCAUGGCCGUUCUUAGUUGGUGGAGUGAUUUGUCUGGUUUAUUCCGAUAACGAGCGAGACUCUAGCCUGCUAAAUAGUCGACGAAUCUUCGGGUUCGUAUAACUUCUUAGAGGGAUAAGCGGUGUUUAGCCGCACGAGAUUGAGCGAUAACAGGUCUGUGAUGCCCUUAGAUGUCCGGGGCUGCACGCGUGCUACACUGGUGGAGUCAGCGGGUUUUUCCUAUGCCGAAAGGUAUCGGUAAACCGUUGAACUUCUUCCAUGUCCGGGAUAGGGUAUUGUAAUUAUUACCCUUAAACGAGGAAUGCCUAGUAAGUGUGAGUCAUCAGCUCACGUUGAUUACGUCCCUGCCCUUUGUACACACCGCCCGUCGCUAUCCGGGACUGAACUGAUUCGAGAAGAGUGGGGACUGUGGCUGCGAGGUUUUACCACUUCGCAGUUGCGGAAACCAUUUUUAUCGCAUUGGUUUGAACCGGGUAAAAGUCGUAACAAGGUAGCUGUAGGUGAACCUGCAGCUGGAUCAUCG
RNAcentral lists this non-coding RNA (616 nucleotides) under Caenorhabditis japonica. Its description in RNAcentral is "Eukaryotic small subunit ribosomal RNA". It matches the Rfam family "Eukaryotic small subunit ribosomal RNA", at positions 1189 to 1831 of the family's 1831-position model. The record is from Rfam by way of RNAcentral. Lineage: Eukaryota; Metazoa; Nematoda; Chromadorea; Rhabditida; Rhabditidae.